AUUGAACGCUGGCGGCAGGCCUAACACAUGCAAGUCGAGCGGAUGAAGGGAGCUUGCUCUCUGAUUCAGCGGCGGACGGGUGAGUAAUGCCUAGGAAUCUGCCUAUUAGUGGGGGACAACGUUUCGAAAGGAACGCUAAUACCGCAUACGUCCUACGGGAGAAAGCAGGGGACCUUCGGGCCUUGCGCUAAUAGAUGAGCCUAGGUCGGAUUAGCUUGUUGGUGAGGUAACGGCUCACCAAGGCUGCGAUCCGUAACUGGUCUGAGAGGAUGAUCAGUCACACUGGAACUGAGACACGGUCCAGACUCCUACGGGAGGCAGCAGUGGGGAAUAUUGGACAAUGGGCGAAAGCCUGAUCCAGCCAUGCCGCGUGUGUGAAGAAGGUCUUCGGAUUGUAAAGCACUUUAAGUUGGGAGGAAGGGCAUUAACCUAAUACGUUAGUGUUUUGACGUACCGACAGAAUAAGCACCGGCUAACUUCGUGCCAGCAGCCGCGGUAACAC
This 502-nucleotide ribosomal RNA is filed under the name uncultured bacterium. RNAcentral's name for it is "bacterial SSU rRNA". It matches the Rfam family "Bacterial small subunit ribosomal RNA", at positions 30 to 526 of the family's 1533-position model. The record is from RNAcentral.